This 499-nucleotide ribosomal RNA is filed under the name uncultured bacterium. Its description in RNAcentral is "bacterial SSU rRNA". It matches the Rfam family "Bacterial small subunit ribosomal RNA", at positions 28 to 518 of the family's 1533-position model. The record is from RNAcentral.
GACGAACGCUGGCGGCGUGGAUUAGGCAUGCAAGUCGAACGGUAGGAUACCUUCGGGUAUCUGAGAGUGGCGAACGGGUGAGUAACACGUAGGUGAUCUACCCUCAAGAUUGGGACAACCCAGGGAAACUUGGGCUAAUACCGGAUGAAAGCAGCAGUGAUGUUGUUUGAAAGGUGGCGUAAGCUGCCGUUUGGGGAUGAGCCUGCGCUCUAUUAGUUAGUUGGCGGGUAAAGGCCCACCAAGGCGAUGAUAGAUAGGCGGCCUUAACGGGUGGUCGCCCACACUGGGAUUGAGAUACGGCCCAGACUCCUACGGGAGGCAGCAGUCGAGAAUAGUCUACAAUGGCCGAAAGGCUGAUAGUGCGACGCCGCGUGAACGAAGAAGCCCUUCGGGGUGUAAAGUUCUUUUAUAUGUGAGCAGUGCUUCUUAUAUUAACAGUAUGGGGAGAGAGAUAUUAGCAUAUGAAUAAGCAACGGCUAACUCCGUGCCAGCAGCCGAC